CAUAGAUUCCUCUGGCACUGACUUCAGGCUGACUUCAUCUUCAGGGAUCAACCUUUGUGCUUCUGGCAUCCCUCUUCUAAAAUGACUGAACUUGCCAAAACAAAUGGCUUUUGUCACUACCUCUCUAUAAAUGGUUCAACUGUUUUUGCAGGAACAAGUCUUAGAAAAGGCCUCCAGAGGUCUAUUUUUUGACCUUGUUAUAACCACUCAGAGCCCACUCAUAUAAUAUACAAAUAUCAUCACAAAAUUAACACGUGAUAUUUGCCUUAAAGAAGAGACUGUCAACUUUGAACUUUGCCUGACUCUAUACUCUAAGAAAUCAGGGACUGUUGGAACCAACUCCCCACCUCCAACCUUUCUGCAUUCCAGAAAGGCUCACCACCUAACCAGCUAGCUGCAAAAGGUCACAAUGACCUGGAACAGUCCUGGAUAAGACCGACCUCCACCCUUUCUCAACGACUCAGACAAGAUCUCUUUCCACGUUUCUUCAAAAUUCCUUUGUUGACUGGCCCCUAUAAGGCCUCAGUCCUUUCUUUUCACUGUAAUUUUCCUCAUUAUGAAAGCUAGCCUUAUUGUAUCAACCUGAAUAAAAUCACCUUCUUAAUUGCCUGA
Callithrix jacchus (white-tufted-ear marmoset) is the source of this 612-nucleotide non-coding RNA. Lineage: Eukaryota; Metazoa; Chordata; Mammalia; Primates; Cebidae. The record is from RefSeq and is a predicted model, not a curated record.